AGCGAACGCUGGCGGCAGGCUUAACACAUGCAAGUCGAGCGGGCCCUUCGGGGUCAGCGGCGGACGGGUGAGUAACGCGUGGGAACGUGCCUUCUGGUCUGGAAUAACCCUGGGAAACUAGGGCUAAUACCGGAUACGCUCUUUUGGGGGAAGGUUUACUGCCGGAAGAUGGGCCCGCGUCCGCUUCGCUUGUUGGUGGGGUAACGGCCUACCAAGGCGUCGAUCAGUAGCUGGUCUGAGAGGAUGAUCAGCCACACUGGGACUGAGACACGGCCCAGACUCCUACGGGAGGCAGCAGUGGGGAAUAUUGGACAAUGGGCGCAAGCCUGAUCCAGCCAUGCCGCGUGAGUGAUGAAGGCCUUAGGGUUGUAAAGCUCUUUUAUCCGGGACGAUAAUGACGGUACCGGAGGAAUAAGCCCCGGCUAACUUCGUG
RNAcentral lists this ribosomal RNA (433 nucleotides) under uncultured bacterium. RNAcentral's name for it is "partial 16S ribosomal RNA". It matches the Rfam family "Bacterial small subunit ribosomal RNA", at positions 29 to 507 of the family's 1533-position model. The record is from RNAcentral.